Molecule: non-coding RNA, 256 nt
Filed under: Schistosoma margrebowiei
Lineage: Eukaryota; Metazoa; Platyhelminthes; Trematoda; Strigeidida; Schistosomatidae
Description: Eukaryotic large subunit ribosomal RNA
Rfam family: Eukaryotic large subunit ribosomal RNA
Source: Rfam by way of RNAcentral
GGUAGUAGCAAAUAUUCAAAUGAGAACCUUGAAGGCCGAGGUGGAGAAGGGUUCCAUGGGAACAGCAGUUGACCAUGGGUCAGGCGGUCCUAAGUAAUCCGGUAAAUCGGAACAGAGAUGGGGUGACUGAAAUUGUCCGUUCGCGGGCUUUGUUCAGUAAUCUGCAAAGUACUGUUAUUCACUUCAUAAUGGAUAAGGUUCAAGUUGUAUUUUCUCAAAUUCCAAACGAGAUAUUGUUACCAAGAGUUAACUGACU